CACGUAGGGGGCAGGCGUUGUCCGGAUUUAUUGGGCGUAAAGAGCUCGUAGGUGGUUCGGUAAGUCAGGUGUGAAACCUCCAGGCUCAACCUGGAGACGCCACUUGAUACUGCUGUGACUGGAGUCCGGUAGGGGAGCGUGGAAUUCCUGGUGUAGCGGUGAAAUGCGCAGAUAUCAGGAGGAACACCAGCGGCGAAGGCGGCGCUCUGGGCCGGUACUGACACUGAGGAGCGAAAGCGUGGGUAGCAAACAGG
This 254-nucleotide ribosomal RNA is filed under the name uncultured bacterium. RNAcentral describes it as "partial 16S ribosomal RNA". It matches the Rfam family "Bacterial small subunit ribosomal RNA", at positions 524 to 776 of the family's 1533-position model. The record is from RNAcentral.